AUCGCUUCUCGGCUUUUUGGCUAAGAUCAAAGUGUAGUAUCUGUUCUUAUCAGCUUUUAAUUGAAUCUUUAUUUAAUUAAAAAAUUCGCACUGUCUAUUUCCCCGAACGUUCGGGGAAAUAGCUUGUGUCUAUUUCUCCGAACGUUCGGGGAAAUAGCCAGUGUAUAUUGGCUGGCUAUUUCCCCGAACAAU
This 192-nucleotide small nuclear RNA is filed under the name Strigamia maritima. RNAcentral's name for it is "U2 spliceosomal RNA". It matches the Rfam family "U2 spliceosomal RNA". Rfam says of the family: U2 is a small nuclear RNA (snRNA) component of the spliceosome (involved in pre-mRNA splicing). Complementary binding between U2 snRNA (in an area lying towards the 5' end but 3' to hairpin I) and the branchpoint sequence (BPS) of the intron results the bulging out of an unpaired adenosine, on the BPS, which initiates a nucleophilic attack at the intronic 5' splice site, thus starting the first of two transesterification reactions that mediate splicing. Lineage: Eukaryota; Metazoa; Arthropoda; Chilopoda; Geophilomorpha; Linotaeniidae. The record is from Rfam by way of RNAcentral.